RNAcentral lists this ribosomal RNA (393 nucleotides) under uncultured bacterium. RNAcentral describes it as "bacterial SSU rRNA". It matches the Rfam family "Bacterial small subunit ribosomal RNA", at positions 30 to 426 of the family's 1533-position model. The record is from RNAcentral.
AUUGAACGCUGGCGGCAUGCCUUACACAUGCAAGUCGAACGGCAGCACGGGGCAACCUGGUGGCGAGUGGCGAACGGGUGGGUAAUGCAUCGGAACGUGCCAUUGAGUGGGGGAUAACGUAGCGAAAGUUGCGCUAAUACCGCAUAUUCUGUGAGCAGGAAAGCAGGGGACCGCAAGGCCUUGCGCUCUUUGAGCGGCCGAUGUCAGAUUAGCUAGUUGGUGAGGUAACGGCUUACCAAGGCGACGAUCUGUAGCGGGUCUGAGAGGAUGAUCCGCCACACUGGAACUGAGACACGGUCCAGACUCCUACGGGAGGCAGCAGUGGGGAAUUUUGGACAAUGGGCGCAAGCCUGAUCCAGCCAUGCCGCGUGAGUGAAGAAGGCCUCGGGUUGU